UAGAGUUUGAUCAUGGCUCAGGAUGAACGCUAGCGACAGGCUUAACACAUGCAAGUCGAGGGGCAGCGGGGAGGUAGCAAUACUUCCGCCGGCGACCGGCGCACGGGUGAGUAACACGUAUGGAACCUGCCCGUAGCAGGGGGAUAAACGGAAGAAAUUCCGUCUAAUACCGCGUAAUAACUCCGAGAGGCAUCUCAUGGAGUUUAAAGGGUAACACCGGCUACGGAUGGCCAUGCGGCGCAUUAGCUAGUUGGCGGGGUAACGGCCCACCAAGGCGACGAUGCGUAGGGGUUCUGAGAGGAAGGUCCCCCACACUGGUACUGAGACACGGACCAGACUCCUACGGGAGGCAGCAGUGAGGAAUAUUGGUCAAUGGGCGCGAGCCUGAACCAGCCAAGUCGCGUGAGGGAAGACGGUCCUAUGGAUUGUAAACCUCUUUUGUCGGGGAGCAAAAGACGCCACGUGUGGCGUUCCGAGAGUACCCGAAGAAAAAGCAUCGGCUAACUCCGUGCCAGCAGCCGCGGUAAUACGGAGGAUGCGAGCGUUAUCCGGAUUUAUUGGGUUUAAAGGGUGCGCAGGCGGAAGAUCAAGUCAGCGGUAAAAUUGAGAGGCUCAACCUCUUCGAGCCGUUGAAACUGGUUUUCUUGAGUGAGCGAGAAGUAUGCGGAAUGCGUGGUGUAGCGGUGAAAUGCAUAGAUAUCACGCAGAACUCCGAUUGCGAAGGCAGCAUACCGGCGCUCAACUGACGCUCAUGCACGAAAGUGUGGGUAUCGAACAGGAUUAGAUACCCUGGUAGUCCACGCAGUAAACGAUGAAUGCUAGUUGUCCGGUUCUUUGGGACUGGGUGACACAGCGAAAGCGUUAAGCAUUCCACCUGGGGAGUACGCCGGCAACGGUGAAACUCAAAGGAAUUGACGGGGGCCCGCACAAGCGGAGGAACAUGUGGUUUAAUUCGAUGAUACGCGAGGAACCUUACCCGGGCUCAAACGACACAGGAAUACUUUUGAAAGGAAGUAGCUCUACGGAGCCUGUGUCGAGGUGCUGCAUGGUUGUCGUCAGCUCGUGCCGUGAGGUGUCGGCUUAAGUGCCAUAACGAGCGCAACCCCCAUCGCCAGUUACCAGCAAGUCAAGUUGGGGACUCUGGCGAGACUGCCGGCGCAAGCUGUGAGGAAGGCGGGGAUGACGUCAAAUCAGCACGGCCCUUACGUCCGGGGCGACACACGUGUUACAAUGGCAGGUACAGAGAGAAGCAAUGCGGCGACGCAAAGCGGAACUUGAAAGCCUGUCUCAGUUCGGAUUGGAGUCUGCAACUCGACUCCAUGAAGCUGGAUUCGCUAGUAAUCGCGCAUCAGCCAUGGCGCGGUGAAUACGUUCCCGGGCCUUGUACACACCGCCCGUCAAGCCAUGGAAGCCGGGAGUGCCUGAAGUGUGCAACCGCAAGGAGCGCCCUAAGGUAAAACUGGUGACUGGGGCUAAGUCGUAACAAGGUAGCCGUA
RNAcentral lists this ribosomal RNA (1496 nucleotides) under uncultured bacterium. RNAcentral's name for it is "16S ribosomal RNA". It matches the Rfam family "Bacterial small subunit ribosomal RNA". The record is from RNAcentral.